RNAcentral lists this ribosomal RNA (278 nucleotides) under uncultured bacterium. Its description in RNAcentral is "partial 16S ribosomal RNA". It matches the Rfam family "Bacterial small subunit ribosomal RNA", at positions 29 to 334 of the family's 1533-position model. The record is from RNAcentral.
AGCGAACGCUGGCGGCAGGCCUAACACAUGCAAGUCGAACGAACUCUUCGGAGUUAGUGGCGGACGGGUGAGUAACACGUGGGAACGUGCCUUUUGGUUCGGAAUAACUCAGGGAAACUUGUGCUAAUACCGAAUGUGCCCUUCGGGGGAAAGAUUUAUCGCCAUUAGAGCGGCCCGCGUCUGAUUAGCUAGUUGGUGAGGUAAAGGCUCACCAAGGCGACGAUCAGUAGCUGGUCUGAGAGGAUGAUCAGCCACAUUGGGACUGAGACACGGCCCAA